AUUGAACGCUGGCGGCAGGCCUAACACAUGCAAGUCGAGCGGAUGAGAGGAGCUUGCUUCUUGAUUCAGCGGCGGACGGGUGAGUAAUGCCUAGGAAUCUGCCUGGUAGUGGGGGACAACGUUUCGAAAGGAACGCUAAUACCGCAUACGUCCUACGGGAGAAAGCAGGGGACCUUCGGGCCUUGCGCUAUCAGAUGAGCCUAGGUCGGAUUAGCUAGUUGGUGAGGUAAUGGCUCACCAAGGCGACGAUCCGUAACUGGUCUGAGAGGAUGAUCAGUCACACUGGAACUGAGACACGGUCCAGCCUCCUACGGGAGGCAGCAGUGGGGAAUAUUGGACAAUGGGCGAAAGCCUGAUCCAGCCAUGCCGCGUGUGUGAAGAAGGUCUUCGGAUUGUAAAGCACUUUAAGUUGGGAGGAAGGGUUGUACGUUAAUACCGUGCAAUUUUGACGUUACCGACAGAAUAAGCACCGGCUAACACUGUGCCAGCCGCCGCCGUAA
Molecule: ribosomal RNA, 500 nt
Filed under: uncultured bacterium
Lineage: Bacteria
Description: partial 16S ribosomal RNA
Rfam family: Bacterial small subunit ribosomal RNA
Source: RNAcentral